Molecule: ribosomal RNA, 460 nt
Filed under: uncultured bacterium
Lineage: Bacteria
Description: partial 16S ribosomal RNA
Rfam family: Bacterial small subunit ribosomal RNA
Source: RNAcentral
CCUACGGGAGGCAGCAGUGAGGAAUAUUGGUCAAUGGGCGCAAGCCUGAACCAGCCAAGUAGCGUGAAGGAUGACUGCCCUACGGGUUGUAAACUUCUUUUAUAAAGGAAUAAAGUGAGGCACGUGUGCCUUUUUGUAUGUACAUUAUGAAUAAGGAUCGGCUAACUCCGUGCCAGCAGCCGCGGUAAUACGGAGGCUCCGAGCGUUAUCCGGAUUUAUUGGGUUUAAAGUGAGCGUAGAUGGGUUGUUAAGUCAGUUGUGAAAGUUUGCGGCUCAACCGUAAAAUUGCAAUUGAUACUGGCAGCCUUGAGUAGAGUUGAGGUAGGCGGAAUUCGUGGUGUAGCGGUGAAAUGCUUAGAUAUCACGAAGAACUCUGAUUGCGAAGGCAGCUUACUAAACUGCCACUGACAUUGAUGCUCGAAAGUGUGGGUAUCAAACAGGAUUAGAUACCCUAGUAGUC